CUAUCCUGCUGUGUUCAAUGGAGAAACACUGCCUCUCGAACAGCCAUUGCUUUGCCUUAUGUGAGUAGCAGGAAAAUGAUCAUAACUGCCUCUAUAUAGGAAUCCAUCCGUAAACUGGACGUUUUUCUUUGCAGGUCACAAGUUUGCCAGAAAUGUGUUCGCCUGGACUGGGAUUCAUCUUUUCGAGUUAAAAGAAAAAAAACUGCACUCUACAAACAGAAAUAGUGUCCUAAGCAGUUUAAAACUAGACUUCAUCUGCAACUCUACAAUGUAUCAAUUAUUCUUUGAGAAGAAGACAAUUUAAUGUGGGCUAUACAUAGAUUGAUCAAUAUGGAGCGCGUGGAUAGGAGUUACCCAUUUUGGCAUCAGAUCUGCUACCACUGGAGUCCAUUGUGUGAGUACCUGGCAGUGGAUGGACCUUAUCAACCUCAGUGUAACUUUUAAUAAAUGUCCAUUCUAUAGGAAUGCAUCCCAGUGUUCUAACUCUUUCUAAUACAAUAGAUAUUGUUAACCAAAGGAAUUAAGUACAACUUUCAAUGUCCAGAGAUCUGAAGAGAAUGAUG
Pelobates cultripes (western spadefoot toad) is the source of this 563-nucleotide non-coding RNA. NCBI's taxonomy places the organism in Eukaryota, Metazoa, Chordata, Amphibia, Anura, Pelobatidae. The record is from the annotation of a GenBank genome assembly.